Molecule: long non-coding RNA, 139 nt
Organism: Phyllostomus discolor (pale spear-nosed bat)
Lineage: Eukaryota; Metazoa; Chordata; Mammalia; Chiroptera; Phyllostomidae
Exons: 3
Source: RefSeq, a predicted model, not a curated record
AGUCCCCAUAAAGCUUGCAGCUGAUUUCUUAAUAGAAACACUUCAAACCAGAAGGGAAUGGCAAGAAAUAUUCCAAGUAAUGAAAAGCAAAGGUCUGCAACCAAGAGUACUCUACCCAGUAAGGAAAUCAUUUACAAUA